RNAcentral lists this transfer RNA (73 nucleotides) under Fasciola hepatica (liver fluke). It matches the Rfam family "tRNA". From Rfam's summary of the family: Transfer RNA (tRNA) molecules are approximately 80 nucleotides in length. The record is from Rfam by way of RNAcentral. Lineage: Eukaryota; Metazoa; Platyhelminthes; Trematoda; Plagiorchiida; Fasciolidae.
ACCGCGAUAGCUCAGCUGGUAGAGUAUCUGCCCGGGAUGCAGAGGGUCGCGGAUUCGAUUUCGGCUCGCGGCG